AGUGAACGCUGGCGGUAGGCCUAACACAUGCAAGUCGAACGGCAGCACAGUAAGAGCUUGCUCUUACGGGUGGCGAGUGGCGGACGGGUGAGGAAUACAUCGGAAUCUACUUUUUCGUGGGGGAUAACGUAGGGAAACUUACGCUAAUACCGCAUACUACCUACGGGUGAAAGCAGGGGAUCUUCGGACCUUGCGCGAUUGAAUGAGCCGAUGUCGGAUUAGCUAGUUGGCGGGGUAAGGGCCCACCAAGGCGACGAUCCGUAGCUGGUCUGAGAGGAUGAUCAGCCACACUGGAACUGAGACACGGUCCAGACUCCUACGGGAGGCAGCAGUGGGGAAUAUUGGACAAUGGGCGAAAGCCUGAUCCAGCCAUACCGCGUGGGUGAAGAAGGCCUUCGGGUUGUAAAGCCCUUUUGUUGGGAAAGAAAAGCAGCAGGUUAAUACCCCGAUGUUCUGACGGUACCCAAAGAAUAAGCACCGGCUAACUUCGUG
RNAcentral lists this ribosomal RNA (492 nucleotides) under uncultured bacterium. Its description in RNAcentral is "partial 16S ribosomal RNA". It matches the Rfam family "Bacterial small subunit ribosomal RNA", at positions 29 to 507 of the family's 1533-position model. The record is from RNAcentral.